GAUGAACGCUGGCGGCGUGCCUAAUACAUGCAAGUCGAGCGAACAGACGAGGAGCUUGCUCCUCUGACGUUAGCGGCGGACGGGUGAGUAACACGUGGAUAACCUACCUAUAAGACUGGGAUAACUUCGGGAAACCGGAGCUAAUACCGGAUAACAUGUUGAACCGCAUGGUUCAACAGUGAAAGACGGUCUUGCUGUCACUUAUGGAUGGAUCCGCGCCGCAUUAGCUAGUUGGGAAGGUAGCGGCUUACCAAGGCUACGAUGCGUAGCCGACGUGGGAGGGUGACAGGCCAAAUGGGGAAGGAGAGACGGCCCAGAAUGCUAGGGGAGGCAGCAGUGGGGAAUAUGGAAAAAUGGGAGGAAGCCUGAAGAAGAAACGCAGAUUGCGGGAUGAGGGACUUCGGGUUGUAACCCGAUUUCGCCGGUGACGAAGCGGGAGUGACGGUAAUGGGUAAAGAAGCACGGGCUAACUACGUG
This 477-nucleotide ribosomal RNA is filed under the name uncultured bacterium. RNAcentral describes it as "partial 16S ribosomal RNA". It matches the Rfam family "Bacterial small subunit ribosomal RNA", at positions 28 to 507 of the family's 1533-position model. The record is from RNAcentral.